Molecule: ribosomal RNA, 336 nt
Filed under: Bacillus pumilus
Lineage: Bacteria; Bacillati; Bacillota; Bacilli; Caryophanales; Bacillaceae
Description: bacterial SSU rRNA
Rfam family: Bacterial small subunit ribosomal RNA
Source: RNAcentral
UGCCCUUAUGACCUGGGCUACACACGUGCUACAAUGGACAGAACAAAGGGCUGCAAGACCGCAAGGUUUAGCCAAUCCCAUAAAUCUGUUCUCAGUUCGGAUCGCAGUCUGCAACUCGACUGCGUGAAGCUGGAAUCGCUAGUAAUCGCGGAUCAGCAUGCCGCGGUGAAUACGUUCCCGGGCCUUGUACACACCGCCCGUCACACCACGAGAGUUUGCAACACCCGAAGUCGGUGAGGUAACCUUUAUGGAGCCAGCCGCCGAAGGUGGGGCAGAUGAUUGGGGUGAAGUCGUAACAAGGUAGCCGUAUCGGAAGGUGCGGUUGGAUCACCUCCU